CAGCUAGCUGGUGGGGUAAGAGCUCACCAGGGCUGUGAUCGGUAGCUGGUCUGAGAGGACGAGCAGCCACACUGGGAUUGAGAACGGCCCAGACUCCUACGGGGGGCAGCAGUGAGGAAUUUUCCGCAAUGGGCGCAAGCCUGACGGAGCAACGCCGCGUGCAGGACGACGGCCUUCGGGUUGUAAACUGCUUUUCUGGGGGACGAGCAAGGACGGUACCCCAGGAAUCAGCCCCGGCUAACUACGUGCCAGCAGCCGCGGUAAUACGUAGGGGGCAAGCGUUGUCCGGAGUUACUGGGCGUAAAGCGCACGCAGGCGGUUGCACGCGUUUCCGGUGCCAGCUCGUUGCUUAACGACGGGAGUGCCGGGAAGACGGUGUGACUGGAGGACCUCAGAGGGACAUAGAAUUCCGGGUGGAGUGGUGAAAUGCGUAGAUAUCCGGAGGAAUACCAAUGGCGAAGGCAGUGUCCUGGGAGGUAACUGACGCUAAGGUGCGA
RNAcentral lists this ribosomal RNA (497 nucleotides) under uncultured bacterium. RNAcentral's name for it is "SSU rRNA". It matches the Rfam family "Bacterial small subunit ribosomal RNA", at positions 242 to 756 of the family's 1533-position model. The record is from RNAcentral.